Molecule: non-coding RNA, 76 nt
Organism: Phthorimaea operculella (potato tuberworm)
Lineage: Eukaryota; Metazoa; Arthropoda; Insecta; Lepidoptera; Gelechiidae
Source: the annotation of a GenBank genome assembly
GCAUCGAUAGCUCAGUGGCAGAGCUAUGGAGCGUUUGCGGCCCAAUGCGGCCCGGGUUCGAUUCCCGGUCGAUGCA